Molecule: ribosomal RNA, 497 nt
Filed under: uncultured bacterium
Lineage: Bacteria
Description: partial 16S ribosomal RNA
Rfam family: Bacterial small subunit ribosomal RNA
Source: RNAcentral
GAUGAACGCUGGCGGCGUGCCUAAUACAUGCAAGUCGAGCGAACGGACGAGAAGCUUGCUUUUCUGAUGUUAGCGGCGGACGGGUGAGUAACACGUGGAUAACCUACCUAUAAGACUGGGAUAACUUCGGGAAACCGGAGCUAAUAUCGGAUAAUAUUUUGAACCGCAUGGUUCAAAAGUGAAAGACGGUCUUGCUGUCACUUAUAGAUGGAUCCGCGCUGCAUUAGCUAGUUGGUAAGGUAACGGCUUACCAAGGCAACGAUGCAUAGCCGACCUGAGAGGGUGAUCGGCCACACUGGAACUGAGACACGGUCCAGACUCCUACGGGAGGCAGCAGUAGGGAAUCUUCCGCAAAGGGCGAAAGCCUGACGGAGCAACGCCGCGUGAGUGAUGAAGGUCUUCGGAUCGUAAAACUCUGUUAUUAGGGAAGAACAUAUGUGUAAGUAACUGUGCACAUCCUGACGGUACCUAAUCAGAAAGCCACGGCUAACUACGUG